RNAcentral lists this RNase P RNA (366 nucleotides) under Solitalea canadensis DSM 3403. RNAcentral's name for it is "Bacterial RNase P class A". It matches the Rfam family "Bacterial RNase P class A". Rfam says of the family: Ribonuclease P (RNase P) is a ubiquitous endoribonuclease, found in archaea, bacteria and eukarya as well as chloroplasts and mitochondria. Its best characterised activity is the generation of mature 5'-ends of tRNAs by cleaving the 5'-leader elements of precursor-tRNAs. Cellular RNase Ps are ribonucleoproteins. The record is from Rfam by way of RNAcentral. Lineage: Bacteria; Pseudomonadati; Bacteroidota; Sphingobacteriia; Sphingobacteriales; Sphingobacteriaceae.
CAUACAAACUGGUCUGUCGCGCUGAAAAGUGAGGAAAGUCCGGGCAACAUAGAGCAUCCUGCUUCCUAACAGGAAGGUCUCGCAAAACGGGAACAGAAAGUGCCACAGAGAAUAUACCGCCCCGGCUCUGCUGGGGUAAGGGUGAAAACGUGAGGUAAGAGCUCACGGCUUUGUCGGGCGACCGGCAUCGCGGUAAACCUCAGGAGUUGAAAGACCAAAUAAACCGGAGCUUGAGGGCUGCUCGCUCAAUUCCGGAGGGUAGGUUGCUAGAGAUGAAUGGUGACAUUCAUUCGAGAUAAAUGACAGAUAUCAAUCUGACUUGAUCGGAUUGAGAAACAGAACCCGGCUUAUACGUUUGUAUUUUUU